RNAcentral lists this ribosomal RNA (198 nucleotides) under uncultured bacterium. RNAcentral's name for it is "partial 16S ribosomal RNA". It matches the Rfam family "Bacterial small subunit ribosomal RNA", at positions 328 to 539 of the family's 1533-position model. The record is from RNAcentral.
ACGCUCGACACCUACGGGAGGCCGCAGUGGGGAAUAUUGCACAAUGGGGGAAACCCUGAUGCAGCGACGCCGCGUGGAGGAAGAAGGUCUUCGGAUUGUAAACUCCUGUUGUUGGGGAAAAAGAGGAUGGUACCCAACAAGGAAGUGACGGCUAACUACGUGCCGGCAGCCGCGGUAAUCUGAGCGGGCUGGCAAGGC